Molecule: ribosomal RNA, 498 nt
Filed under: uncultured bacterium
Lineage: Bacteria
Description: partial 16S ribosomal RNA
Rfam family: Bacterial small subunit ribosomal RNA
Source: RNAcentral
GAUGAACGCUGGCGGCGUGCCUAAUACAUGCAAGUCGAGCGAACAGAUGAGGAGCUUGCUCCUCUGACGUUAGCGGCGGACGGGUGAGUAACACGUGGAUAACCUACCUAUAAGACUGGGAUAACUUCGGGAAACCGGAGCUAAUACCGGAUAAUAUAUUGAACCGCAUGGUUCAAUAGUGAAAGACGGUUUUGCUGUCACUUAUAGAUGGAUCCGCGCCGCAUUAGCUAGUUGGUAAGGUAACGGCUUACCAAGGCAACGAUGCAGAGCCGACCUGUGAGGGUGAGAGGCCGAAGUGGGACUGAGACACGGCCCAAAAGCAGACGGGAGGCAGCAGUAGGGAAUCGUGGGCAAUGGAAGAAAGUCUGAACGAGCAACGCAGCGUGAGUGAAGAAGGUUGUCGGAUCGUAAAAAUCUGUUGGGAGAGAAGAACGUGGGUGAGAGUGGAAAGCGCAUCAAGUGACGGUAACGACCCAGAAAGGGACGGCUAACUACGUG